This 475-nucleotide ribosomal RNA is filed under the name uncultured organism. RNAcentral describes it as "partial 16S ribosomal RNA". It matches the Rfam family "Bacterial small subunit ribosomal RNA", at positions 331 to 797 of the family's 1533-position model. The record is from RNAcentral.
GUACACUCCUGCGGGAGGCAGCAGUGGGGAAUUUUGGACAAUGGGCGAAAGCCUGAUCCAGCCAUGCCGCGUGCAGGAUGAAGGCCUUCGGGUUGUAAACUGCUUUUGUACGGAACGAAACGGCCUUUUCUAAUAAAGAGGGCUAAUGACGGUACCGUAAGAAUAAGCACCGGCUAACUACGUGCCAGCAGCCGCGGUAAUACGUAGGGUGCAAGCGUUAAUCGGAAUUACUGGGCGUAAAGCGUGCGCAGGCGGUUAUGUAAGACAGUUGUGAAAUCCCCGGGCUCAACCUGGGAACUGCAUCUGUGACUGCAUAGCUAGAGUACGGUAGAGGGUGAUGGAAUUCCGCGUGUAGCAGUGAAAUGCGUAGAUAUGCGGAGGAACACCGAUGGCGAAGGCAAUCCCCUGGACCUGUACUGACGCUCAUGCACGAAAGCGUGGGGAGCAAACAGGAUUAGAAACCCUAGUAGUCCCA